Molecule: ribosomal RNA, 520 nt
Filed under: uncultured bacterium
Lineage: Bacteria
Description: bacterial SSU rRNA
Rfam family: Bacterial small subunit ribosomal RNA
Source: RNAcentral
GGGAACAUACCCUUUUCUACGGAAUAGCUCUGGGAAACUGGAAUUAAUACCGUAUGCGCCCUACGGGGGAAAGAUUUAUCGGGGAAGGAUUGGCCCGCGUUGGAUUAGCUAGUUGGUGGGGUAAAGGCCUACCAAGGCGGCGAUCCAUAGCUGGUCUGAGAGGAUGAUCAGCCACAUUGGGACUGAGACACGGCCCAAACUCCUACGGGAGGCAGCAGUGGGGAAUAUUGGACAAUGGGCGCAAGCCUGAUCCAGCCAUGCCGCGUGAGUGAUGAAGGCCUUAGGGUUGUAAAGCUCUUUCACCGAUGAAGAUAGUGACGGUAGUCGGAGAAGAAGCCCCGGCUAACUUCGUGCCAGCAGCCGCGGUAAUACGAAGGGGGCUAGCGUUGUUCGGAAUUACUGGGCGUAAAGCGCACGUAGGCGGAUAUUUAAGUCAGGGGUGAAAUCCCAGAGCUCAACUCUGGAACUGCCUUUGAUACUGGGUAUCUUGAGUAUGGAAGAGGUAAGUGGAAUUGCGAGU